UGAGCAACCUACCGAACUGUGGGGGAUAGCCGGCCUAACGGCCGUGUAAUACCGCAUACGCUCUCAGAGAGGCAUUUCUUUGAGAGGAAACCUGCGGGACAGAGCGAGGGGCUCGCGGCCUAUCAGCUAGUUGGUGAGGUAACGGCUCACCAAGGCGACGACGGGUAGUUGGUCUGAGAGGAUGGCCAGCCACAUUGGGACUGAGACACGGCCCAGACUCCUACGGGAGCAG
Molecule: ribosomal RNA, 232 nt
Filed under: uncultured bacterium
Lineage: Bacteria
Description: partial 16S ribosomal RNA
Rfam family: Bacterial small subunit ribosomal RNA
Source: RNAcentral